RNAcentral lists this ribosomal RNA (497 nucleotides) under uncultured bacterium. RNAcentral describes it as "partial 16S ribosomal RNA". It matches the Rfam family "Bacterial small subunit ribosomal RNA", at positions 28 to 507 of the family's 1533-position model. The record is from RNAcentral.
GAUGAACGCUGGCGGCGUGCCUAAUACAUGCAAGUCGAGCGAACGGACGAGAAGCUUGCUUCUCUGAUGUUAGCGGCGGACGGGUGAGUAACACGUGGAUAACCUACCUAUAAGACUGGGAUAACUUCGGGAAACCGGAGCUAAUACCGGAUAAUAUUUUGAACCGCAUGGUUCAAAAGUGAAAGACGGUCUUGCUGUCACUUAUAGAUGGAUCCGCGCUGCAUUAGCUAGUUGGUAAGGUAACGGCUUACCAAGGCAACGAUGCAUAGCCGACCUGAGAGGGUGAUCGGCCACACUGGAACUGAGACACGGUCCAGACUCCUACGGGAGGCAGCAGUAGGGAAUCUUCCGCAAAGGGCGAAAGCCUGACGGAGCAACGCCGCGUGAGUGAUGAAGGUCUUCGGAUCGUAAAACUCUGUUAUUAGGGAAGAACAUAUGUGUAAGUAACUGUGCACAUCUUGACGGUACCUAAUCAGAAAGCCACGGCUAAUUACGUG